UACGUAGGUGGCGAGCGUUGUCCGGAUUUACUGGGCGUAAAGGGCGUGCAGGCGGUUUGUUAAGUGCAGAGUGAAAGCUCCCGGCUCAACUGGGAGAGGUCUUUGCAUACUGGCAAACUCGAGGGAGGCAGAGGAAAGUGGAAUUCCCGGUGUAGUGGUGAUAUGCGUAGAUAUCGGGAGGAACACCGGUGGCGAAGGCGGCAUCCUGGACCGACACUGACACUGAGGAGCGAAAGCCAGGGGAGCAAACGGG
RNAcentral lists this ribosomal RNA (253 nucleotides) under uncultured bacterium. RNAcentral's name for it is "partial 16S ribosomal RNA". It matches the Rfam family "Bacterial small subunit ribosomal RNA", at positions 524 to 776 of the family's 1533-position model. The record is from RNAcentral.